CGGACGGGUGAGUAAUGUCUGGGAAACUGCCUGAUGGAGGGGGAUAACUACUGGAAACGGCAGCUAAUACCGCAUAACGUCGCAAGACCAAAGAGGGGGACCUUCGGGCCUCUUGCCAUCGGAUGUGCCCAGAUGGGAUUAGCUAGUAGGUGGGGUAACGGCUCACCUAGGCGACGAUCCCUAGCUGGUCUGAGAGGAUGACCAGCCACACUGGAACUGAGACACGGUCCAG
RNAcentral lists this ribosomal RNA (232 nucleotides) under uncultured bacterium. RNAcentral's name for it is "partial 16S ribosomal RNA". It matches the Rfam family "Bacterial small subunit ribosomal RNA", at positions 99 to 334 of the family's 1533-position model. The record is from RNAcentral.